Molecule: ribosomal RNA, 505 nt
Filed under: uncultured bacterium
Lineage: Bacteria
Description: partial 16S ribosomal RNA
Rfam family: Bacterial small subunit ribosomal RNA
Source: RNAcentral
GACGAACGCUGGCGGCGUGCCUAAUACAUGCAAGUAGAACGCACAGUUUAUACCGUAGCUUGCUACACCAUAGACUGUGAGUUGCGAACGGGUGAGUAACGCGUAGGUAACCUGCCUGGUAGCGGGGGAUAACUAUUGGAAACGAUAGCUAAUACCGCAUAAUAUUAAUUAUUGCAUGAUAAUUAAUUGAAAGGUGCAAUUGCACCACUACCAGAUGGACCUGCGUUGUAUUAGCUAGUAGGUGAGGUAACGGCUCACCUAGGCGACGAUACAUAGCCGACCUGAGAGGAUGAUCGGCCACACUGGGACUGAGACACGGCCCAGACUCCUACGGGAGGCAGCAGUAGGGAAUCUUCGGCAAUGGACGAAAGUCUGACCGAGCAACGCCGCGUGAGUGAAGAAGGUUUUCGGAUCGUAAAGCUCUGUUGUAAGAGAAGAACGGGUGUGAGAGUGGAAAGUUCACACUGUGACGGUAUCUUACCAGAAAGGGACGGCUAACUACGUG